AACGAACGCUGGCGGCAUGCCUAACACAUGCAAGUCGAACGAGACCUUCGGGUCUAGUGGCGCACGGGUGCGUACCGCGUGGGAACCUGCCCUUAGGUUCGGAAUAACUCCCCGAAAGGGGUGCUAAUACCGGAUAAUGUCUUCGGACCAAAGAUUUCUCGCCUUUGGAUGGGCCCGCGUUGGAUUAGCUAGUUGGUAGGGUAAAAGCCUACCAAGGCGACGAUCCAUAGCUGGUCUGAGAGGAUGAUCAGCCACACUGGGACUGAGACACGGCCCAGACUCCUACGGGAGGCAGCAGUGGGGAAUAUUGGACAAUGGGCGAAAGCCUGAUCCAGCAAUGCCGCGUGAGUGAUGAAGGCCUUAGGGUUGUAAAGCUCUUUUACCCGGGAUGAUAAUGACAGUACCGGGAGAAUAAGCUCCGGCUAACUCCGUG
RNAcentral lists this ribosomal RNA (433 nucleotides) under uncultured bacterium. RNAcentral's name for it is "partial 16S ribosomal RNA". It matches the Rfam family "Bacterial small subunit ribosomal RNA", at positions 29 to 507 of the family's 1533-position model. The record is from RNAcentral.